Oncorhynchus tshawytscha (Chinook salmon) is the source of this 791-nucleotide long non-coding RNA. The record is from Ensembl. Lineage: Eukaryota; Metazoa; Chordata; Actinopteri; Salmoniformes; Salmonidae.
GGAGGGGGCAGGUAGCCUAGUGGUUAGAGUGGAGGGGCAGCAGGUAGCCUAGUGGUUAGAGUGGAGGGGUGGCAGGUAGCCUAGUGGUUAGAGUGGAGGGGUGCAGGUAGCCUAGUGGUUAGAGAGGAGGGAUGGCAGGUAGCCUCAUGGUUAGAGAGGAGGGGUGGCAGGUAGCCUAGUGGUUAGAGUGGAGGGAGGCAGGCAGCCUUGUGGUUAGAGUGGAGGGGCGGCAGGUAGCCUAGUGGUUAGAGUGGCGGGGCGGCAGGUAGCCUAGUGGUUAGAGUGGAGGGGUGGCAGGUAGUCUAGUGGUUAGAGCGGAGGGGAGGCAGGUAGCCUAGUGGUUAGAGUGGAGGGGCGGCAGGUAGCCUAGUGGUUAGAGUGGAGGGGCGGCAGGGAGCCUAGUGGUUAGAGCGGAGGGGAGGCAGGUAGCCUAGUGGUUAGAGUGGAGGGGCGGCAGGUAGCCUAGUGGUUAGAGUGGAGGGGCGGCAGGUAGCCUAGUGGUUAGAGUGGAGGGGAGGCAGGGAGCCUAGUGGUUAGAGUGGAGGGGCGGCAGGUAGCCUAGUGGUUAGAGUGGAGGGGCGGCAGGUAGCCUAGUGGUUAGAGUGGAGGGGCGGCAGGUAGCCUAGUGGUUAGAGUGGAGGGGCGGCAGGUAGCCUAGUGGUUAGAGUGGAGGGGAGGCAGGGAGCCUAGUGGUUAGAGUGGAGUGGCGGCAGGUAGCCUUGUGGUUGGGCCAGUAACCGAAAGGUUUCUGGAUUGAAUCCCCGAGCUGACAAGGUAAAAAUCUGUCGUUC